This 165-nucleotide ribosomal RNA is filed under the name uncultured bacterium. RNAcentral describes it as "partial 16S rRNA". It matches the Rfam family "Bacterial small subunit ribosomal RNA", at positions 355 to 511 of the family's 1533-position model. The record is from RNAcentral.
UAGGGAAUCUUCCACAAUGGGCGCAAGCCUGAUGGAGCAACGCCGCGUGAGUGAAGAAGGUUUUCGGAUCGUAAAGCUCUGUUGUAAGAGAAGAACGUGUGUGAGAGUGGAAAGUUCACACAGUGACGGUAACUUACCAGAAAGGGACGGCUAACUACGUGCCUG